AAAGGUGACCGUAUGCGCCUCUAUGGCGGCGACCUCCGAGUCCUCCUCCUCUGCUUCAGACCCGAAACUUGAUCUCAUAAAAACGAUGCGAAGUCAUGAAGUUGCUUUGGCAGAGCUGAAUAAUCUUUCAUCGUCUCGGACUGUCUAUCAGAAAAAUGGGAACAUAUUUUUUCGUACAACUAUCCAAAAAGCAACAGCAUCUGAAAAGAAACAACUUGAUUCUGCCAAAGCCAAGCUAGAAAAGCUGAGUAAUGUUUGAUUACAAUUUGGUUCAUUGCUUCAAAACUGGACUAAUAUCUUGCUGAUGAAAAUGCUUUCAGUAGUAUCAACAUCAGUCAGUGAUUAAAACUUUCUGGCCGCCACAGUUUAGUCCCAUUCGAAUGCUUCAAUAUCUUAAAAUUCUAGGAAUUCGCGGCUAGGGAUGGCUGUUUAUUCUCUCAGUGAUUAAAAAUUUUAAUCAUCAGGGUGACACCUUACCGUGCUUUUUAACACAACCACUUCACACGAUAAUGUAUAAUAUAUCCAAGAAAAGGAGAAGUAAACAAC
Molecule: unclassified non-coding RNA, 546 nt
Filed under: Hevea brasiliensis (rubber tree)
Lineage: Eukaryota; Viridiplantae; Streptophyta; Magnoliopsida; Malpighiales; Euphorbiaceae
Source: RNAcentral